This 230-nucleotide ribosomal RNA is filed under the name uncultured bacterium. Its description in RNAcentral is "partial 16S ribosomal RNA". It matches the Rfam family "Bacterial small subunit ribosomal RNA", at positions 561 to 791 of the family's 1533-position model. The record is from RNAcentral.
UAAAGCGUGCGCAGGCGGUUAUGUAAGCAGAUGUGAAAUCCCCGGGCUCAACCUGGGAACUGCAUUAGUGACUGCAUAGCUGGAGUACGGCAGAGGGGGAUGGAAUUCCGCGUGUAGCAGUGAAAUGCGUAGAUAUGCGGAGGAACACCGAUGGCGAAGGCAAUCCCCUGGGCCUGUACUGACGCUCAUGCACGAAAGCGUGGGGAGCAAACAGGAUUAGAUACCCUUGU